Molecule: long non-coding RNA, 423 nt
Filed under: Eutrema salsugineum
Lineage: Eukaryota; Viridiplantae; Streptophyta; Magnoliopsida; Brassicales; Brassicaceae
Description: long non-coding RNA (ESAL_LNC001071)
Source: RNAcentral
UAAGUUUUCCUCUCCUCCCUCUCUAUAUCUUUUUGUUCUCACUAAUUAAUGGUUUUGUUUGCAGGUAGAGAGUUCUUGACAUCUUUGGCUACAACCUACAUCUCAAGUAUGAUUUAAAUCAUAACUUUUAAAUAUAUACCCCCAAGUUCAUUUUACAAGUCUUAGUUUCUUCCGUUAUUGUUAAGGAAUUUAAGAGUUUCUUUUCAGUUUGGAAGUGUCAAAUUUCAAUCACCUCUCUCAUCUGUCUCUCGCUUCUCUCUUAGUUCUCUCUUAAGUUAAAUCUUCAAAAACUACAAAUGGCGAUCUGGGGGUACGAGGAUAGCUGGGAUGAAGUGGCGGCUUACAACAACUAUCCACUUCUAGGAAUUGUUGUCCUCGCUGUGAUCUUUGCCGUUUUGGUGGUUGUGGCUGGAAAAAAUUUAC